CUGAGGUGGAGCCCGCCCGCCGUUCGCCCCUGCCCUUGCCCUUGCCCCGGCCCGGGCCGCGGCUGUGCCGGCAGCCGGCGGGGAGCGGGCCGGGGCUGUGAGCCGGGCCGGGCCGAGCCGGGCCAGCCUCCAGCCUUCCCUCAGGGCAGCCGGACCGCCGUCCUGCCGCGGGAGCCGGAGGCUGGCCCGGGGGGAGCGGGCAGGGCCGGCCGGCUCCCGGAGGCGCUCGGCGGGCUGUGCUCCCGCUGCCCGGCGCCGGGACUUGUUGCACGGCGGCCGUGAGAGGGGAUCGCCCGUGCCCGGUGCGGCUGCCCCGACCCCGGCACCGCCGCCCUCGCUGCCCCUCAGCAGCCCGCCGGCCCCGAGCGUCCCAGGAGCGCUGCCCGAGCCGCGGAGUAGCGGCGGCGAGGGGCCGGGGUGGGACCCUUUCUGAACUCUGCUUUCACCGGGAGGCUGCCGAGCUCUCCCACUCCCGCUGGGAACUGAGAGAGCCUUUCCUAUGGUUCCUGUGGUGGACAGAGAUAUCUCAGCCCUGAAAAAGAAAGCAAGAGUCCUUCCAAAAGUAGAGGGAAGAGCUCUCUCCCACCUCCAGCUUUUUGCUGCAGGUUCUAUCAAAGCUGUUUCCAGGGCCAUUUGGACAAAAAGUAUUUCAGUUUCCAAAAGCCUCCCAUGUCAAGAUAAGAUGAACUGUGCCCUGAAAAUGCCUACUUCCCUCCUUGGAGUAUAAAAAGGAUCUGGAGAAUUCA
Long non-coding RNA from Passer domesticus (house sparrow), 746 nucleotides. RefSeq lists it as uncharacterized. The record is from RefSeq and is a predicted model, not a curated record. The transcript is spliced from 3 exons. NCBI's taxonomy places the organism in Eukaryota, Metazoa, Chordata, Aves, Passeriformes, Passeridae.